Molecule: unclassified non-coding RNA, 61 nt
Filed under: Sorangium cellulosum So ce56
Lineage: Bacteria; Pseudomonadati; Myxococcota; Polyangiales; Polyangiaceae
Description: sce_SECIS_9
Source: RNAcentral
CUCGGUCGCUGCGAUGAGCUCGUCCGAAGCACCCCACAGGCGAGCGCUGCGGCUCUCUGAG